Girardinichthys multiradiatus is the source of this 1118-nucleotide long non-coding RNA. RefSeq lists it as uncharacterized. The transcript has 5 exons. The record is from RefSeq and is a predicted model, not a curated record. Lineage: Eukaryota; Metazoa; Chordata; Actinopteri; Cyprinodontiformes; Goodeidae.
AGGACCCUCGUAUAUAAACUUCUUCCAGCCUUAGCUCAGUCUCUGUCCAUGUAUUGAGGGAAGUAACUGCCAGCAGGGAAGUUGGCGGGAUUAAACCAAAACAGAAUUUCAGGCUUGUUUGAUGCAUGUCAGUGAGAAACAUGUGAACCUUUAUUUGGGGUUUUUAUUUUCGUUGUGAGCUUAAAGGAAAUCGCACCAUGUGCGAGGUUCCGCGACCCGAGCACGUGGGGUGGCUAGGAGACAAGAUGGAGACAAGAUGGAGGAUGGUUAAAGAGGGAUCAACGAGUUGAAGAUCGAUUCCUUCAGGCCGGCUGCCACUCUAAAAAAAAAGAACAAAACAACAAUCCGGAGGUAUUUGAAAUGACAGAUCUUCAUCCUUUUGAUAACCCUACCAAACCUUUAUCAUGCGUCCCCACGUGACCACACGUAAGGCCUUGGUACACUGCUUAUAUUUUUUCAACGUCCAUUCAGUCAGUUCAGUGCCGAAACUGGAUGGCCCAUUUUUUCCCCUUUGAUAUUGUUAAAAACCUGCAGGAUUUGCUACAAUAUUUUUAGCACUACACAGAAGAUGGAUGCUGAGUGAACCAGUUGAGUCAGCAGUUGUAAGCUGAUGGCAGUCAGCAGUGUGCCCAUUGACAGAAUGGCUCACUCCAGCUCGUCUUGUCCAUUCACAUGUCUAACAUGAACAGAAGAAAGCUUCAUUGAUUAAGUCAUUCAGGUCAUGUUCUCACCAGGCAACGCUGAUUUCAAGUUAAAAGAUGUUAAAUGGCCUGUACUUGUAUAGUCCCCAGAGACCCCAAAGCGCUCUACACUACAAUCAGUCAUACGCACAUUCAUAACCACAGCUGUCCUGGGGCAGACCCAACAGAAGUGAGGCUGCCAUACACAGGCACCUCCGACCGCCAUCGCGGUAGUGGUAGGAAGGAAAGGAAAGGACGUUUUUUAAAGUUGGGUAUAUUAAAAUAAAUUGGAUGAGAUUUGUGUUAUAAAGCAUUUGGUUUUGUUUAGUGUAUUGUGGGGUUAUAUGUAAUAAAGGUAUUACAAUGUAAACGUUUAAAUGUUUGUGCCUACUUUGCAGCUCUUGGCUUUUCUGGAAUAAAGUCUGACAUGACUUGGAA